GAUGAACGCUAGCUACAGGCUUAACACAUGCAAGUCGAGGGGCAGCGGGUUGAAAGCUUGCUUUCAAUGCCGGCGACCGGCGCACGGGUGCGUAACGCGUAUCAAACCUGCCUCAUACUCGGGGAUAGCCUUGCGAAAGUAAGAUUAAUACCCGAUGUUGUUGCUUUCUCGCAUGGGAGAGUAACCAAAGAUUUAUCGGUAUGAGAUGGUGAUGCGUCCGAUUAGGUAGUAGGCGGGGUAACGGCCCACCUAGCCUUCGAUCGGUAGGGGUUCUGAGAGGAAGGUCCCCCACACUGGAACUGAGACACGGUCCAGACUCCUACGGGAGGCAGCAGUGAGGAAUAUUGGUCAAUGGGCGAGAGCCUGAACCAGCCAAGUAGCGUGCAGGAUGACGGCCCUCCGGGUUGUAAACUGCUUUUAGUUGGGAAUAAAACAGCGGACUUGUCCGCUCUUGUAUGUACCUUCAGAAAAAGGACCGGCUAAUUCCGUGCCAGCAGCCGCGGUAAUACGGAAGGUCCAGGCGUUAUCCGGAUUUAUUGGGUUUAAAGGGAGCGUAGGCGGAUUGUUAAGUCAGCGGUUAAAGGGUGUGGCUCAACCAUGCAUUGCCGUUGAAACUGGCGAUCUUGAGUGCAGACAGGGAUGCCGGAAUUCGUGGUGUAGCGGUGAAAUGCUUAGAUAUCACGAAGAACUCCGAUCGCGAAGGCAGGUGUCCGGGCUGCAACUGACGCUGAGACUCGAAAGUGUGGGUAUCAAACAGG
This 758-nucleotide ribosomal RNA is filed under the name uncultured Prevotella sp. RNAcentral describes it as "bacterial SSU rRNA". It matches the Rfam family "Bacterial small subunit ribosomal RNA", at positions 28 to 776 of the family's 1533-position model. The record is from RNAcentral. Lineage: Bacteria; Pseudomonadati; Bacteroidota; Bacteroidia; Bacteroidales; Prevotellaceae.